AUUGAACGCUGGCGGCAUGCCUUACACAUGCAAGUCGAACGGUAACAGGUCUUCGGAUGCUGACGAGUGGCGAACGGGUGAGUAAUACAUCGGAACGUGCCUAGUAGUGGGGGAUAACUACUCGAAAGAGUGGCUGAUACCGCAUGAGAUCUACGGAUGAAAGCAGGGGAUCGCAAGACCUUGCGCUACUAGAGCGGCCGAUGGCAGAUUAGGUAGUUGGUGGGAUAAAAGCUUACCAAGCCGACGAUCUGUAGCUGGUCUGAGAGGACGAUCAGCCACACUGGGACUGAGACACGGCCCAGACUCCUACGGGAGGCAGCAGUGGGGAAUGUUGGACAAUGGGCGAAAGCCUGAUCCAGCAAUGCCGCGUGCAGGAUGAAGGCCUUCGGGUUGUAAACUGCUUUUGUACGGAACGAAAAGCCCCGGGUUAAUACCCUGGGGUCAUGACGGUACCGUAAGAAUAAGCACCGGCUAACUACGUGCCAGCCGCCGCAGUAA
Molecule: ribosomal RNA, 498 nt
Filed under: uncultured bacterium
Lineage: Bacteria
Description: partial 16S ribosomal RNA
Rfam family: Bacterial small subunit ribosomal RNA
Source: RNAcentral